This 133-nucleotide ribosomal RNA is filed under the name Paenibacillus riograndensis. RNAcentral's name for it is "partial 23S ribosomal RNA". It matches the Rfam family "Bacterial large subunit ribosomal RNA", at positions 2796 to 2925 of the family's 2925-position model. Lineage: Bacteria; Bacillati; Bacillota; Bacilli; Caryophanales; Paenibacillaceae. The record is from RNAcentral.
CCCUCAAGAUGAGAUUUCCCAAGUCAGUAAGACCCCUUGAAGACGACGAGGUAGAUAGGUUGGAGGUGGAAGCACGGCAACGUGUGGAGCUGACCAAUACUAAUCGGUCGAGGGCUUAUCCAAUAAAAUACCC